RNAcentral lists this ribosomal RNA (464 nucleotides) under uncultured bacterium. Its description in RNAcentral is "partial 16S ribosomal RNA". It matches the Rfam family "Bacterial small subunit ribosomal RNA", at positions 28 to 507 of the family's 1533-position model. The record is from RNAcentral.
GACGAACGCUGGCGGCGUGCUUAACACAUGCAAGUCGAACGGUAAGGCCCUUUCGGGGGUACACGAGUGGCGAACGGGCGUGUAACACGCGGGUGAUCUGCCCUGCACUUUGGGAUAAGCCUGGGAAACUGGGUCUAAUACCGGAUAGGACUACGCGAUGCAUGUCGUGUGGUGGAAAGCUUUUGCGGUGUGGGAUGGGGCCGCGGCCUAUCAGCUUGUUGGUGGGGUGAUGGCCUACCAAGGCGACGACGGGUAGCCGGCCGGGGAGGGUGUCCGGCCACACUGGGACUGAGAUACGGACCAGACUCCUACGGGAGGCAGCAGUGGGGAAUAUUGCACAAUGGGCGCAAGCCUGAUGAAGCGACGCCGCGUGGGGGAUGACGGCCUUCGGGUUGUAAACCCCUUUCAGCACAGAAGAAGCGUAAGUGACGGUAUGUGCAGAAGAAGCACCGGCCAACUACGUG